Molecule: ribosomal RNA, 921 nt
Filed under: uncultured bacterium
Lineage: Bacteria
Description: bacterial SSU rRNA
Rfam family: Bacterial small subunit ribosomal RNA
Source: RNAcentral
UGUUACGUCGGAUGUGAAAACCUGAGGCUCAACCUCAGGCCUGCAUUCGAUACGGGCAAACUAGAGUUUGGUAGGGGAGACUGGAAUUCCUGGUGUAGCGGUGGAAUGCGCAGAUAUCAGGAGGAACACCAAUGGCGAAGGCAGGUCUCUGGGCCAAUACUGACACUGAGGAGCGAAAGUCUGGGGAGCGAACAGGAUUAGAUACCCUGGUAGUCCAGACCGUAAACGGUGGGCACUAGUUGUGGGAACCUUCCACGGUUUCUGCGACGCAGCUAACGCAUUAAGUGCCCCGCCUGGGGAGUACGAUCGCAAGAUUAAAACUCAAAGGAAUUGACGGGGCCCCGCACAAGCAGCGGAGCAUGCGGCUCAAUUCGACGCAACGCGAAGAACCUUACCAAGGCUUGACAUAUAGAGAAAAGUGGCAGAGAUGUCAUGUCCGCAAGGGCUCUAUACAGGUGGUGCAUGGUUGUCGUCAGCUCGUGUCGUGAGAUGUUGGGUUAAGUCCCGCAACGAGCGCAACCCUCGUUCUGUGUUGCCAGCAUUUAGUUGGGGACUCACAGGAGACUGCCGGGGUUAACUCGGAGGAAGGUGGGGAUGACGUCAAAUCAUCAUGCUCCUUAUGUCUUGGGCUGCACGCAUGCUACAAUGGCCGGUACAGAGGGCUGCAAUACCGUAAGGUGGAGCGAAUCCCAAAAAGCCGGUCUCAGUUCGGAUUGAGGUCUGCAACUCGACCUCAUGAAGUUGGAGUUGCUAGUAAUCGUAGAUCAGCAACGCUACGGUGAAUACGUUCCCGGGGCUUGUACACACCGCCCGUCACGUCACGAAAGUCGGUAACACCCAAAGUCAGUGGCCCAACCGCAAGGGGGGAGCUGCCUAAGGUGGGAUCGGUGAUUGGGACGAAGUCGUAACAAGGUAGCCGUA